Non-coding RNA from Microcebus murinus (gray mouse lemur), 567 nucleotides. The record is from RefSeq and is a predicted model, not a curated record. NCBI's taxonomy places the organism in Eukaryota, Metazoa, Chordata, Mammalia, Primates, Cheirogaleidae.
GUCUGGGCCAAUCAACUUGCGGGGCGGAAGUGCUGCCCGGAACGGCCAGCGCUGAGGGUUUGAGGGCGGUGCGUAGAGUGUGUUGCAGGUGCGGGUGAAAGGGGCCGCCCACAAAGCGAAAGUGUUGAAGUGUGUUGCUGUGUCAGCCACAGAGGCCAAGGACCUCACAAGAGAAAAGGAUAACGAGACUGAGAGGGGCGAGGAUCUGAAGUAGUGUCUGUAAAUGAGGCGCUCCGGCUCCGGGAGAAACAAGUCCUGAAAGAGCUUUUAAAAAACUUCUAGACACUCCCAAAGACAUAUGAGAUGAAAAGGCUCUUGUUCGUGUGUGUGUAUUGAAAGUCAUUGCCACUGUCUUACCAAUGACUCCAGCUCUGCUUUGUUCCUCAUGCCUCUAAAAAGAUUGCUGAGAUACCCAAUCAAGAGCUGAUCCUUAUGUCCCCUAGACUCUCCUCAGUCAUUCAGCAGAAACCCAACUCCUAGAAAAGUCCCUCCUUAUUCCCUUGGUGUCUCUGGUGUAAAAUCUUCCAGGCAGCAACAAGCUAAUAAACCUAACUUUGUUUGACUACA